RNAcentral lists this unclassified non-coding RNA (356 nucleotides) under Athalia rosae (coleseed sawfly). RNAcentral describes it as "misc RNA ENSAEAG00005011168.1". Lineage: Eukaryota; Metazoa; Arthropoda; Insecta; Hymenoptera; Athaliidae. The record is from RNAcentral.
AUUAGAUCAUUUUAUUCAAAUCCCUAACAUGAAUUGCUUUUCUUUUGUACAGAUGCCGUUGAUCGAUCGAUCGAUUAGUCAGUGACGUUCGCCCUCCUUCCGAUUUUUGACGAUCAUGUAUAAAUAUAUUGCUCUUUUUGUUUCUCGAGUUAAAUGGUCGUCGACGACCUGAAGAUAUUUUCCUCUACUCAAAUCAUGAACAAAAAAGAAAAGAAAAAGUACAAAAGCAAAUCAAAACCAUCCGGUUUUGGUACUCCUAGAAAACGCAGAAGAAGAGGCAAAACCCGUCGUUUGACUAGGAGACGGCAGCGAUCAGCAAGGGUAGCGAUCAAAGCUCAUCAGUUUCCGGUUACGGG